RNAcentral lists this long non-coding RNA (516 nucleotides) under Phasianus colchicus (ring-necked pheasant). RNAcentral's name for it is "lncRNA (ENSPCLG00000017002.1)". Lineage: Eukaryota; Metazoa; Chordata; Aves; Galliformes; Phasianidae. The record is from RNAcentral.
GGAAACUUUCAUGACAUUUUUGUUUCAGCUGUCCCAAUGCUUUGAUCCCUUGCUGCUGGGAUGGGGCGUUUGCAGAAUGACAAUGUCCAGUCAGAUGUUGGGGAUGAGUCUGCGCACCGGGGAGGGUGGGUGGUGAGCCUUAUGAACCAGUGCCUGCAGAUGGGGUUUGUGGAGAAAGAGGUCCUGCAGGCCUUGUGUGAUACCCAUGGAGCUAUAGUGAGGCUGCAUCAGUGUAAAACACCAGAAAUCCCCAGAGGUGUGAAGGAAUCCAUGUGGGUCUUUUUAUGAAGAAUAGCCUCGUUGUGCAGCUUAUGAAUUAAUUCAUUCACGCCUUUUAGCUGGUUUUCUUUCCUACAUGAAGCUGCAAUUGAAAUGGACACUUUGUGAUCUGAUCCCCUCUGGCAUGCUCAGAUCAGCCAAGUUGGCAAGGUCUGGCACAGGCUCAUAGGCGAGGCCACAGCAGCUCUUCCGUUGUGACACAGAGCAGGGACAUAGAAGUUGAAGAAGGCCCCACAG